GCGGUUCCGGUUCACGCCGCGCCUGCCCGUUGAAACGGGCAGGCGGGCGACCCGGCGGCC
RNAcentral lists this non-coding RNA (60 nucleotides) under unclassified sequences. Its description in RNAcentral is "L31-Actinobacteria ribosomal protein leader". It matches the Rfam family "L31-Actinobacteria ribosomal protein leader". The record is from RNAcentral.